UACGUAGGGGGCUAGCGUUGUCCGGAAUCAUUGGGCGUAAAGAGCGCGUAGGCGGCCAGAUAAGUCCGGUGUGAAAGUCACAGGCUCAACCUGUGAAUGCCGCUGGAAACUGUCUGGCUAGAGUCCGGGAGGGGCGAGUGGAAUUCCUGGUGUAGCGGUGAAAUGCGCAGAUAUCAGGAGGAACACCAAUGGCGAAGGCAGCUCGCUGGAACGGUACUGACGCUGAGGUGCGAAAGCGUGGGGAGCGAACAGG
RNAcentral lists this ribosomal RNA (253 nucleotides) under uncultured bacterium. Its description in RNAcentral is "partial 16S ribosomal RNA". It matches the Rfam family "Bacterial small subunit ribosomal RNA", at positions 524 to 776 of the family's 1533-position model. The record is from RNAcentral.